GACGAACGCUGGCGGCGUGCCUAAUACAUGCAAGUCGAGCGGAAGUUGAAGAGCUUGCUCUUCAACUUUAGCGGCGGACGGGUGAGUAACACGUGGGCAACCUGCCCUGCAGAUCGGGAUAACUCCGGGAAGCCGGUGCUAAUACCGAAUAGUUUUGGGUCCCUCCUGGGACCUAACGGAAAGACGGUUUCGGCUGUCACUGCAGGAUGGGCCCGCGGCGCAUUAGCUAGUUGGUGGGGUAACGGCCCACCAAGGCGACGAUGCGUAGCCGACCUGCGAGGGUGAUCGGCCACACUGGGACUGAGACACGGCCCAGACUCCUACGGGAGGCAGCAGUAGGGAAUCUUCCGCAAUGGACGCAAGUCUGACGGAGCAACGCCGCGUGAGUGAUGAAGGUUUUCGGAUCGUAAAACUCUGUUGCGAGGGAAGAAACCGUGCCAAUUAACUACUGGCACCUUGACGGUACCUCGCCAGAAAGCCACGGCUAACUACGUGCCAGCCGCCGCGGUAA
RNAcentral lists this ribosomal RNA (511 nucleotides) under uncultured bacterium. RNAcentral describes it as "partial 16S ribosomal RNA". It matches the Rfam family "Bacterial small subunit ribosomal RNA", at positions 28 to 523 of the family's 1533-position model. The record is from RNAcentral.